GGAUGUGAGGGCGAUCUGGCUGCGACAUCUGUCACCCCAUUGAUCGCCAGGGUUGAUUCGGCUGAUCUGGCUGGCUAGGCGGGUGUCCCCUUCCUCCCUCACCGCUCCAUGUGCGUCCCUCCCGAAGCUGCGCGCUCGGUCGAAGAGGACGACCAUCCCCGAUAGAGGAGGACCGUUCUUCGGUCAAGGGUAUACGAGUAGCUGCGCUCCCCUGCUAGAACCUCCAAACAAGCUCUCAACCCCCUGUAUUCCCACGACAACAUUCUGAAUCAGCUUCCCUUCCAAGAAGCCCUCUAGUUUCUU
This 303-nucleotide small RNA is filed under the name Castor canadensis (American beaver). RNAcentral describes it as "7SK RNA (ENSCCNG00000029329.1)". It matches the Rfam family "7SK RNA". From Rfam's summary of the family: 7SK was discovered as an abundant small nuclear RNA in the mid-70s but a possible function has only recently been suggested. Two independent studies have found that 7SK RNA binds the CDK9/cyclin T complex (known as elongation factor P-TEFb). Lineage: Eukaryota; Metazoa; Chordata; Mammalia; Rodentia; Castoridae. The record is from Rfam by way of RNAcentral.